UACGGAGGGUGCAAGCGUUAUCCGGAUUUACUGGGUUUAAAGGGUGCGUAGGUGGGUCUGUAAGUCAGUGGUGAAAUCUCCGAGCUUAACUCGGAAACUGCCAUUGAUACUAUAGGUCUUGAAUUAUCUGGAGGUAAGCGGAAUAUGUCAUGUAGCGGUGAAAUGCUUAGAUAUGACAUAGAACACCAUUGCGAAGGCAGCUUACUACGGAUUGAUUGACACUGAGGCACGAAAGCGUGGGGAUCAAACAGG
Molecule: ribosomal RNA, 252 nt
Filed under: uncultured bacterium
Lineage: Bacteria
Description: partial 16S ribosomal RNA
Rfam family: Bacterial small subunit ribosomal RNA
Source: RNAcentral